Molecule: transfer RNA, 68 nt
Filed under: Littoraria ardouiniana
Lineage: Eukaryota; Metazoa; Mollusca; Gastropoda; Littorinimorpha; Littorinidae
Description: tRNA-Tyr
Rfam family: tRNA
About the family: Transfer RNA (tRNA) molecules are approximately 80 nucleotides in length. Their secondary structure includes four short double-helical elements and three loops (D, anti-codon, and T loops).
Source: RNAcentral
UGUUCGAUGGCUGAGUGAUUUAAGCGGUAGACUGUAGAUCUAUUUACGGAAUUAAUUUUCCUCAACAA